UCAAUCAAAAAUUUAAUUUGUCAUCUUGAUAGUUUCAAGAUUUGCAAUAGAAACGUAAAAAUGCCUUUAACUUGUUUUCAGAAGCAUAUAAUGUGACAAAGACUUGACGAGGAUCUAAAAGUAAUUGCUGACGAACUAAACCAGGCACAGAACGUCCAAAAAUUACCAUCGAAAAUGAAGAGCGUGAACUCGUUCCAUCCCCGUGUUCCAUAUCCUCCUGACGUUUAUUUUGCUCAUGCGUUACCCAUCUGUAAUAAUCAUCACACUGAAUAAAAUAAUUCAAUUUGAA
Molecule: long non-coding RNA, 289 nt
Organism: Zophobas morio
Lineage: Eukaryota; Metazoa; Arthropoda; Insecta; Coleoptera; Tenebrionidae
Exons: 2
Source: RefSeq, a predicted model, not a curated record